AUGGCUGGGACUGGGAGAUGGUCGUCGGUUCUGGUGGCGAUGCCGACGGUCGUCGAGAGGUUCGUGGACUGGACGGUGUCGUGGCUGCCGAUGUACGGAGAGGCCAAGCUGCUGCUCAUCAUCUACCUCUGGCACCCCAACACACGGGGUGCGGGUCACAUCUAUGAUGGCUUCCUCCAUCCGCUGGUGCCGUGGCACGAGGCCUACAUCGACCGGGGCCUGCUUGAGCUGAGGGCUAGGGCGAGGGACGUGACAGCGUCACAACUCAAGGUGGUGGCUGCCAUCGGUCAAGUGUGGCUCGUCGAGACUGCCCGCUGUGUUUCGUCGCAGUUGCAGGUUGCGAGAUCAGGCUGGGAAGGCGCCACGCAUUGGCGAGUGAGCGAAUUUUUGGAUCGGACCAUAACAACGUGUCUCAGUCUCUGA
This 423-nucleotide ribosomal RNA is filed under the name Triticum aestivum (bread wheat). Its description in RNAcentral is "partial small subunit ribosomal RNA". Lineage: Eukaryota; Viridiplantae; Streptophyta; Magnoliopsida; Poales; Poaceae. The record is from RNAcentral.